Molecule: ribosomal RNA, 497 nt
Filed under: uncultured bacterium
Lineage: Bacteria
Description: partial 16S ribosomal RNA
Rfam family: Bacterial small subunit ribosomal RNA
Source: RNAcentral
GAUGAACGCUGGCGGCGUGCCUAAUACAUGCAAGUCGAGCGAACAGACGAGGAGCUUGCUCCUCUGACGUUAGCGGCGGACGGGUGAGUAACACGUGGAUAACCUACCUAUAAGACUGGGAUAACUUCGGGAAACCGGUGCUAAUACCGGAUAAUAUAUUGAACCGCAUGGUUCAAUAGUGAAAGACGGUUUUGCUGUCACUUAUAGAUGGAUCCGCGCCGCAUUAGCUAGUUGGUAAGGUAACGGCUUACCAAGGCAGCGAUGCGUAGCCGACCUGAGAGGGUGAUCGGCCACACUGGAACUGAGACACGGUCCAGACUCCUACGGGAGGCAGCAGUAGGGAAUCUUCCGCAAUGGGCGAAGGCCUGACGGAGCAACGCCGCGUGAGUGAUGAAGGUCUUCGGAUCGUAAAACUCUGUUAUUAGGGAAGAACAAAUGUGUAAGUAACUAUGCACGUCUUGACGGUACCUAAUCAGAAAGCCACGGCUAACUACGUG